UACAGAGGUCCCGAGCGUUGUUCGGAUUUAUUGGGCGUAAAGGGUGCGUAGGCGGCGGAGUAAGUUGGGUGUGAAAUCCCGGGGCUUAACCUCGGAAUUGCAUUCAAUACUGCUUCGCUCGAGUACUGGAGAGGAGGCUGGAAUUUACGGUGUAGCAGUGAAAUGCGUAGAUAUCGUAAGGAAGGCCGGUGGCGAAAGCGAGCCUCUGGACAGUUACUGACGCUGAUGCACGAAGGCCAGAGGAGCAAACGGG
RNAcentral lists this ribosomal RNA (253 nucleotides) under uncultured bacterium. RNAcentral's name for it is "partial 16S ribosomal RNA". It matches the Rfam family "Bacterial small subunit ribosomal RNA", at positions 524 to 776 of the family's 1533-position model. The record is from RNAcentral.